GGAAGAGAGAAUGCCGGUGUGAGUAGCGGAACGUGGGUGAGAAUCCCACGCACCGAAAACCCAAGGUUUCCAGAGGAAGGUUCGUCCGCUCUGGGUAAGUCGGGACCUAAGGCGAGGCCGAAAGGCGUAGUCGAUGGACAACAGGUAGAGAUUCCUGUACCCGUAUAUAUGUGAAGGAAUGACGGAGAGAGGAAGCUGCAGCCAGCGGCUGGAAGAGCUGGUGCAAGCGAGAUAUCGGGAUGGCAGGCAAAUCCACCAUCCGAAACGAGAAGGCGUGAAGCGUACGGAAAGCUACGGCGAGUACGGAAGGCAGUGGAGGAACUUCCAAGAAAAGUUUCUAACGUUAAGUAUAUAUGGCCCGUACCGAAAAUGGACACACAUGGGUGAGGAGAGAAUCCUAAGGUGAGCGAGAGAACUAUAGCUAAGGAACUCUGCAAAAUGACUCCGUAACUUAGGGAGAAGGAGUGCUCAUAGAGAUAUGAGCCGCAGUGAAACGGCCCAAGCGACUGUUUACCAAAAACACAGCUCUCUGCUAAGCCGCAAGGCGAAGUAUAGGGGGUGACGCCUGCCCGGUGCUGGAAGGUUAAGGGGAGGGGUUAACGCAAGUGAAGCCCUGAACUGAAGCCCCAGUAAACGGCGGCCGUAACUAUAACGGUCCUAAGGUAGCGAAAUUCCUUGUCAGGUAAGUUCUGACCCGCACGAAAGGCGUAACGAUUUGGGCGCUGUCUCAGCUGUAGACUCGGUGAAGUCUUAGUACCUGUGAAGAUGCAGGUUACCCGCGACUAGACGGAAAGACCCCAUGGAGCUUCACUGCAGGUUGAUAUUGGGAUUUGAUGCAGCAUGUACAGGAUAGGUAGGAGGCAAAGAGAUGGAUACGCCAGUAUUCAAGGAGCCGCUGUUGGGAUACUACCCCUGUUGUAUUGGAUUUCUAACCGGACGACGUAGAGCCGUUGACGGGACAGUGUCAGUCGGGCAGUUUGACUGGGGCGGUCGCCUCCCAAAGAGUAACGGAGGCGCCCAAAGAUACCCUCAGCUUGGAUGGAAACCAAGCGCAGAGUGCAAAGGCAAAAGGGUGUUUGACUGCGAGACCUACAAGUCGAGCAGGGACGAAAGUCGGGCUUAGUGAUCCGGCGGUGCUGAAUGGAAAGGCCGUCGCUCAACGGAUAAAAGCUACCCUGGGGAUAACAGGCUGAUCUCCCCCAAGAGUUCACAUCGACGGGGAGGUUUGGCACCUCGAUGUCGGCUCA
This 1247-nucleotide ribosomal RNA is filed under the name human gut metagenome. Its description in RNAcentral is "bacterial LSU rRNA". It matches the Rfam family "Bacterial large subunit ribosomal RNA", at positions 1284 to 2539 of the family's 2925-position model. The record is from RNAcentral.